This 253-nucleotide ribosomal RNA is filed under the name uncultured bacterium. RNAcentral describes it as "partial 16S ribosomal RNA". It matches the Rfam family "Bacterial small subunit ribosomal RNA", at positions 524 to 776 of the family's 1533-position model. The record is from RNAcentral.
UACGUAGGGAGCAAGCGUUGUCCGGAAUCAUUGGGCGUAAAGCGCGCGUAGGUGGCUUCGUAAGUCCGUUGUGAAAGUCAAAGGCUCAACCUUUGAAAGCCGAUGGAUACUGCGGAGCUAGAGUCCGGAAGAGGAGAGUGGAAUUCCCGGUGUAGCGGUGAAAUGCGCAGAUAUCGGGAAGAACACCCGUGGCGAAGGCGGCUCUCUGGGACGGUACUGACGCUGAGACGCGAAAGCGUGGGGAGCGAACAGG